RNAcentral lists this long non-coding RNA (348 nucleotides) under Prunus persica (peach). RNAcentral describes it as "long non-coding RNA (PPER_LNC004909)". Lineage: Eukaryota; Viridiplantae; Streptophyta; Magnoliopsida; Rosales; Rosaceae. The record is from RNAcentral.
CAAUAAAUUACAGCACUGCCACUAUCAAGCCCAACAGAAAAAAACUCAAAAAACACCCAAAACAAACCCAGCCCAAAUUUAUAAACAAGCCCAAACAUUGUACCAUCUCGUAUUCCAUAACUUUCGACCCAAAAAAAAAAGUAAAACGUAACUUAACUGCCAGCACGCGCGCCUUCAUUUAAGCCAUCUCUGCAAAACGUCUCUUCACUCUUCGUCUUCAUCAAAUCGUCUGCAAAACCGAGACUCCAUAAUCACCACGAAGCUUCAUCUACUUUCAAAACGAACACCAGACACUGACCUCCACCUUCAGAACCAAGACAAAAUUUCAGAGAACAAUUUCGACAAGAA